RNAcentral lists this long non-coding RNA (711 nucleotides) under Mus pahari (shrew mouse). RNAcentral describes it as "lncRNA (MGP_PahariEiJ_G0005689.1)". Lineage: Eukaryota; Metazoa; Chordata; Mammalia; Rodentia; Muridae. The record is from RNAcentral.
GAUGUUUACAUUUGCAAAAACUGCCUCAAGACUGCCGAUCAUCGGCCGGACAACUGGAACUUUCCAUUUUGAUUCUCGGGGGUUUCUCUGAAAGCCACAACAGGAUAUAAACACACAGAGUGUCUUGGGAAGGGCAUUGCUUAUUUUGUAUGCUUCUGGGUUGAUUUUGGAAGUGAUCUGUGACCCAGAAAUGCAAAGGACAGUGUGGGCUGCCUUUCAUCAGGGAAUUCACCAUCUUCUCUUGGAGCUGUUGGGCUGUACCCACCAGGAAUGUUUUUGAAGUGGUAUCCUUAUUAAAAAUCUCAAACCCAGAAGACGCCAUAGGAGUAGAACAUUGCAAAUCACUCCUGUUUACUUAGGCUGGGCAAUACCACUGUGCUGGCAGGGGCUCUAUUUUUUCAGUUUGGAGUUGAUCCCUUGAAACCAGAGCUAGCUUCUUCAGAUGUGCAAUCAGCAAGUGAUUUGGUUUGGAAGGCAUGUGAUGUACAGGCUGAGAGUUAUAUGACAUAGGGUCUCCAGUGAAGUGCUGAUCGGCGGCUGCAACGGUUUGCACUGAAGGAAGCAGUGUUCAAUUGUUAGGAUUAUUUUAACUAGGUUAAAAGAUAUACAAAGGACUACAUUCCCAAGACAGCACUUACAAGACAGCAUGAAGGAGUGUUAGCUUACAACAUCUCUUUCUUUGCUUGGCUGUCCCCGCUUUGGAAGACUCUG